Molecule: small nuclear RNA, 107 nt
Organism: Rhinopithecus bieti (black snub-nosed monkey)
Lineage: Eukaryota; Metazoa; Chordata; Mammalia; Primates; Cercopithecidae
Gene: U1
Rfam family: U1 spliceosomal RNA
About the family: U1 is a small nuclear RNA (snRNA) component of the spliceosome (involved in pre-mRNA splicing). Its 5' end forms complementary base pairs with the 5' splice junction, thus defining the 5' donor site of an intron.
Source: Ensembl
ACACUUACCUGGCAGGGUAGAUACCAUGAUCAUGAAGGUGGUUUUCCCAGGGCGAGGCUUGUCUAUUGCACGCUUUGAGAAUCGUUUACUUGUAUUACUGCUAAAAC